Symphalangus syndactylus (siamang) is the source of this 303-nucleotide long non-coding RNA. RefSeq lists it as uncharacterized. Lineage: Eukaryota; Metazoa; Chordata; Mammalia; Primates; Hylobatidae. The record is from RefSeq and is a predicted model, not a curated record.
UCCCCGGGAGGAGUAUGAGAUCCUGUGUGUGAGAAAAAAAGAAGGUGAAGGGCAGAGAUCCAACCUGGGCUCUCGUGAAACCUGGAUCUAUGGGAUUUACGUAAAUGUGAACAGGCUGCACCGGGCUCACAGAUUGGCUGUGUAGAAGUGGUCUCUGUCGUUCAGAUGUUGGGAGGUAACAGUGAGCUUUAACUAAUUACACCUCAGAUCACCCCCAGGAGGCAACCUGCGGCCAAUAAGAUUCUAAAGGGAAGGAGUCAACAUUCAUCUUGACGCUUUCAGUAUCGGCUGUCAUGAAGUGGC